This is a non-coding RNA of Meleagris gallopavo (turkey), 2939 nucleotides long. NCBI's taxonomy places the organism in Eukaryota, Metazoa, Chordata, Aves, Galliformes, Phasianidae. The record is from RefSeq and is a predicted model, not a curated record.
AAGUUUCUGGUGUAGGGCUUAACAGGAUGGUGAUUUCGGAUAGAGUUCUGUGGGUUUACCCACGGUUUUCCUAUCCUUCAUGAAUUACAGGAAGCAUUUCAUGUAUAAGCAACAGUGCUGAGUCAAUAGAGAGACAUGCCGAGGUCCACUGGAGCCUCAGCACAUUGUAACCUGGAAGGUCUUUAAAAUCUGAGCAAGCUGGAAGGUGGAUUAAAUGAGUAGAGUCCAAAAGAACGUGCCUAGAAUAACAUCCUUCACCCCGCAUUUUGUCUUAGCAAUACAUACAUCUCAUUCCCUGAGCAGCAUUUUAUUAGCCAAAGUAUUGUCACUUUGAAAACUUAUUUCAGCCUGAAAUUCCCAUCUUGGUGCUGCUCAGCACAGCCAUGUCAGGGUGCUCCAAAAGCACGAUGCCAGCAAGCAGUGAUUUACUGGAGGUGGGAGGUCUGUAUUAAUUAAAAUAACUGUAAGUGAUAUCCUCAGCAAUAAUAGCUUUUAAAAAUCAAUACUGUCAAGAUAGCCUGGAAUUAAAAUAGAUUAAUGUUUCUUUAAAGACCGGCAAGCAGGGCAAGAGACAGCUGGGGCCAUCUGCACUCAGUGGCGAGUGGGAACGGAGCCUCCUGACCCUGCCUUCCUGCCACUUUCUUCAUUACAUGGCAGGUCGUGCCUCCAGACAUUAAAUGCACCAGAACCGAGAUUCGUGUGGGAAGGACUCAGUUUGUUUGCGCUGCCAGAUAGAGACAACAGCUGCCCCCUGUGCAGCUAAAUGGGAACCUGGGCAGAGAGCAUCGAGUUCAGAACCAAGGAUCUGCAGCGUGUGCAGGAGCAGAUACGGUCAGGGGAGGAGUACUGAUGUGUUGUUGUGUGGGAGCAGCUGUGCACCUGGAGGAGCUGGGCAGCACAAGGCAGAGGUGUGAGGCCUCCUGAUCUGCACAAGUUUGCUCCAGUUUCAACCAUCACAGCUGUUUACUGGUUUUGAGAAGGGUUUUGUGUUUUUUUUUUAUGUUGGCACAGCUCCCAGUUCACAAGGAAAGGUUAUCUUCCAAUGCAACCCUAUCCCCCAUCAGUGUGGGAUUCGAAGAUUCCAGCUCUGAUAAUUAUUUUUUAUCCCUGUUUUGUGUAUUAAGACCGUAUUGAAGUGACUCUGUGCCUGGCUGAGGCUGCUGUGCCUGGAUAUCCCAGCACAGCUGUGUGCUGAGCUCACACAGCCCUUUGCCAGACGUGGCACAGAGCAGCAUGGGUCCAGGCAUGCACACCCAGCCUCGGUGUCAGGCUCUGGGAAUGUCCCCCAGGCCUCUCACAGCAGCUCCUGAAGAUAAAUUUGGCCCAUUUCAGUCAAUGAGAGCACUCAUAUUCCUAUUGCAUGUUUUCCAUUGUAAGCCGAUAGUUUCUGGCAUGUGUGGUGUCCCUUUGAUUGGAAUUCAUUCAGAAGCUUCCACUCACAGGCACUAUGAAGCCAGGCACAGCUCAGCUGACACAGCCAUUCAUCACAGCCACACGUGAGCCCAGCAUGGAGCUGCAUCCAUUCCUGACACUGUGGCCUCAUCCCAGUCCUGGCACCGACCUCAGGAGCAGCUCAGCACCCGCUGGGUCAGCUCACUGCCCCUCAGCCUCUGCAUAUAAGAUACAGAGACUUUGUUCACCUCUUCUAGUUUGUAGGGCUGGCAUGGAGUACGUCAUGCUCUGCCACUCCUUCUGGCAUCUGUCCUUCAUAUGGCAGUCAUGAAACCUGCCACAGCACUUACGCAACUUCCAUUAAUGCAAUUAAACUAAAUACCAAAAGACUAGCAGGCAGACUCUGAGUCUGCAAAGAUCCUCCUGAGGCACAGAAGUAUCUCAGCUUUCUGAGCUGCUGAGUGUUAUCUCACCAGCGAUGUAUGAGCAUUUAGCUGGGCAUCACCAGCCAGCUGGGCACAGGGAAGGACGUUUGUGCCUGGACAUCCUACUUAACAGCAAUAGGAUUGUGCCAGGAGAGGUUCAGAUUGGUUAUUAGGAAAUGUUUCUUCUUAGAAAGAGUGGUGAUGCAUUGGAACAGGCUGCCCAAGGAAGUGCAGUCACCAAGAAAAGGGUGGGUGUCACACUAACAUGGUCUACAGCAGUCACAGGCAUGGUCUGAUGGUUGCACUCAAUGGUUUUUAGUGCUCUUUCCAACCUUCACGUGUCUAAAGGUGCCCCACCUGUGUCUGCAGUGCUUGGGCGAGGCUCUGCAGGGCUGCUCAUGUUUUCUGUCUGCAAGUGUUCUCCUCUUCCUGUGGCACCUGGUGCUCUGUCAGUUCCUCCAGUUCAGCUUGCUUCUAAACUGAUCUCACUGCUGCAGCUGGUUGGGUUUUCCAACUGUUCGUUGCUUCUUAGUAUUUCCUCUCCCAGUAAAUAACUUCUCUACACAGAAGGCUGUGGAUAUCAGGCUUUCUGAGGUCCCGUGUUUCAAGCUGAGUGCUGCAGUUGAUAUGGCACACAAGGAAAGGAUGCCAUCAGUGGGACCUUGAUGAACUCGAAAGAUGCUCACGGUUUACACCCUAAUUUACUCUGGAAGGAAAAGAGGUUAAGAUGACUUGAAAUCCAUGUGAAGAAAUUCAAGGACAGGCAGAACACUGCAGGCCGUAGCAUCCAGAGAGCACAGCUGGAGGGAAGCUCCCUGCACAGUGCAGACCUGAGCUGGGGCAGUUCCAGCUUGCAGAAGAUUAAUCACAGUGACCCGAACAGAAACGGAAACAAUGUGAUCAGCUCAGCACUUCUAAAAUAAUUUUGGUCUCCAUUAGGUCACCCCCUCUAAAUACCAAUUGUUUCUGUCUGGUGCUGUUGCCUAUCAGCCCUAUUAUUACAAGCUGCUAUUUGCCGUUUGCUCUUUCCUGUUCCUCUCAGGAAUAGCUUCCUCCUGUUGCACUGCUUUUGCCUCAGAGCCGGACAUCUGUCUUCCUCCUCAUUACACAGCCAUGCUCAGA